UACGUAGGGCGCAAGCGUUGUCCGGAAUUAUUGGGCGUAAAGCGCGCGUAGGCGGUUACUCAAGUCGGAUGUGAAAGCCCUCGGCUUAACUGAGGAAGUGCACCCGAAACUGAGUAGCUAGAGUACUAAAGAGGGUCGCGGAAUUCCCGGUGUAGAGGUGAAAUUCGUAGAUAUUCGGAAGAACACCAGUGGCGAAGGCGACACACUGGGCCAUUACUGACGCUGAGGCGCGAAAGCGUGGGGAGCAAACAGG
This 253-nucleotide ribosomal RNA is filed under the name uncultured bacterium. Its description in RNAcentral is "partial 16S ribosomal RNA". It matches the Rfam family "Bacterial small subunit ribosomal RNA", at positions 524 to 776 of the family's 1533-position model. The record is from RNAcentral.